This 21-nucleotide microRNA is filed under the name Xenopus laevis (African clawed frog). RNAcentral describes it as "Xla-Let-7-P2a1d_3p* (star (passenger))". RNAcentral also lists the same sequence under 1 other name. The record is from RNAcentral. Lineage: Eukaryota; Metazoa; Chordata; Amphibia; Anura; Pipidae.
CUACACAACCUACUGUCUCUC